ACGGAAGGCAGCAGUGAGGAAUAUUGGUCAAUGGACGCAAGUCUGAACCAGCCAUGCCGCGUGCAGGAAUAAGGCCCUAUGGGUCGUAAACUGCUUUUGUGGUGGAGCAAUAAGUCGUACGUGUACGGCGAUGAGAGUACAUCACGAAUAAGCAUCGGCUAACUCCGUGCCAGCAGCCGCGGUAAUACGGAGGAUGCGAGCGUUAUCCGGAUUUAUUGGGUUUAAAGGGUGCGUAGGCUGUGGUCCAAGUCAGGGGUGAAAGCCCGGAGCUCAACUCCGGAACUGCCUUUGAUACUGGAUUGCUGGAAUACGGAUGCCGUGGGAGGAAUGAGUAGUGUAGCGGUGAAAUGCAUAGAUAUUACUCAGAACACCGAUUGCGAAGGCAUCUCACGAAUCCGUCAUUGACGCUGAGGCACGAAAGCGUGGGGAUCAAACAGGAUUAGAUACCCUGGUA
This 454-nucleotide ribosomal RNA is filed under the name uncultured Rikenellaceae bacterium. RNAcentral's name for it is "partial 16S ribosomal RNA". It matches the Rfam family "Bacterial small subunit ribosomal RNA", at positions 341 to 792 of the family's 1533-position model. The record is from RNAcentral. Lineage: Bacteria; Pseudomonadati; Bacteroidota; Bacteroidia; Bacteroidales; Rikenellaceae.